This 117-nucleotide ribosomal RNA is filed under the name Lepisosteus oculatus (spotted gar). Lineage: Eukaryota; Metazoa; Chordata; Actinopteri; Semionotiformes; Lepisosteidae. The record is from RNAcentral.
AACAGCAGCUAUAUCCCCCUGCAGCUUCCAGCUGGCAGCCCCACUGGAGCUCAGCAGGUGUGAGCCUGGCCAGUACCUGGAUGGGAGACCUCCUGGGAAAAACUGAGGUUGCUGGUG